GAAAUGCGAUAAGUAAUGUGAAUUGCAGAAUUCAGUGAAUCAUCGAAUCUUUGAACGCACCUUGCGCUCCUUGGUAUUCCUUGGAGCAUGCCUGUUUGAGUAUCAUGAAAUCUUCAAAGUAAAUCUUUUGUUAACUCAAUUGGUUUCUACUUUGGUAUUGGAGGUCUUUGCAGCUUCACACCUGCUCCUCUUUGUUCAUUAGCUGGAUCUCAGUGUUAUGCUUGGUUCCACUCGGCGUGAUAAGUUAUCUAUCGCUGAGGACACUGUAAAAGGUGGCCAAGGUAAAUGCAGAUGAACCGCUCCUAAUAGUCCAUUGACUUGGACAAUACUUUUAUGAUCUGAUCUCAAAUCAGGUAGGACUACCCGCUGAACUUAAGC
Molecule: unclassified non-coding RNA, 378 nt
Filed under: plant metagenome
Description: partial contains 5.8S ribosomal RNA, internal transcribed spacer 2, and large subunit ribosomal RNA
Rfam family: 5.8S ribosomal RNA (bases 1-105)
Source: RNAcentral